RNAcentral lists this ribosomal RNA (399 nucleotides) under uncultured bacterium. Its description in RNAcentral is "bacterial SSU rRNA". It matches the Rfam family "Bacterial small subunit ribosomal RNA", at positions 356 to 772 of the family's 1533-position model. The record is from RNAcentral.
AAGGAAUCUUCGGCAAUGGGCGCAAGCCUGACCGAGCAACGCCGCGUGGAGGACGACGGCCUUCGGGUUGUAAACUCCUUUUUGGGGGGAUGAUACGGACGGUACCCCCAGAAUCAGCCCCGGCUAACUCUGUGCCAGCAGCCGCGGUAAUACAGAGGGGGCAAGCGUUGUCCGGAUUUACUGGGCGUACAGCGCGCGCAGGCGGCACGGUAUGUGACCGGUGACAUCCUCGGGCUCAACCCGAGGCGGCCCGGUUAGACAGCCGCGCUGGAGGCAGGGAGAGGGAUGUGGAAUACCCGGUGGAGCGGUGAAAUGCGUAGAGAUCGGGUGGAACACCAGCGGCGAAGGCGGCAUCCUGGCCCUGUACUGACGCUGAGGCGCGAUAGCGUGGGGAGCAAA